UGGCCAUUCUUCCAGUAGUUUGGAGGCUGCUAAGUUAGAGGUAUUCUUUGGUUUGAGCACUGAGUGUAUCUUGGAUUAAGGAGAUUUGAAUAGAGUCUAGAGGAGCUUUUAUAUUUCAAAAGACUUCUCCUUUAGGUUACCCGAGCUCGUAGAGGGGGCUGAUGAUUAUCUCCCAACUCAAUUCAAAUUUUAUGGAGAAACUUUGAAGAACUGAUUGAGAUUUUCUUUGCACCCUUUUAUAGUUCUCCUUCUCGACCAU
This 259-nucleotide long non-coding RNA is filed under the name Elaeis guineensis (African oil palm). RNAcentral describes it as "long non-coding RNA (EGUI_LNC029360)". Lineage: Eukaryota; Viridiplantae; Streptophyta; Magnoliopsida; Arecales; Arecaceae. The record is from RNAcentral.